AUCUACUAAGGGCUGUUGAUCAGAACAUUCAGGAAAAAAAAAAAAAUUUUCAUUGAAUCCGAAUUUCUUAUGGCAGUUCAAAUAAUCCCCAAAGAAUCAGUGUUCUUAGCCAUGCAACUUCUGCAUUGAUCGUGCUGAGGCGCAUCUCGAAACUCGUCCAAUGAGUUUAUUUUGGCUGGCCAGAGAGAGUGUCAAAGAUCUGCUUGGAAGUUGGGAAACAGCCCUUUUAAAGCUUGACGAUGCAUUCUAUGGAACUUACUCGCAUUAGCUUUGUGCUGGGAUAUAUGGACGGAGAGAAAUAGACGUAGCCUUGUGUUGGGAUAUAUGAAUGGAGAGAAAUAGAUGUACAUUCAGAGGUGAGGAAUCCUCAAUUUUGAAGAUUCUGUCCUGGUGAAAGAGUGUAUCCGUUUUUUCACCUCCUUGAUCAUUUAAAGAGUAUGUUUAAGCCUCCCCAACGUGUAUGUGGUGUACAAGGAGUGUGAGAAAUUAAUGUGUAGUUUUCUUUCCUGCA
Molecule: long non-coding RNA, 511 nt
Organism: Magnolia sinica
Lineage: Eukaryota; Viridiplantae; Streptophyta; Magnoliopsida; Magnoliales; Magnoliaceae
Exons: 2
Source: RefSeq, a predicted model, not a curated record